This is a long non-coding RNA of Macrobrachium nipponense, 291 nucleotides long. RefSeq lists it as uncharacterized. NCBI's taxonomy places the organism in Eukaryota, Metazoa, Arthropoda, Malacostraca, Decapoda, Palaemonidae. The transcript is spliced from 3 exons. The record is from RefSeq and is a predicted model, not a curated record.
AUUUUGAUUCGUCUGACAUGCCUGUCUUAGGCUAAAGGCUUUUUAUUGGGAUCCCUGGUCUACGUCAUCCUCUUGAGAAAAUUCUGCCAAAAUCCAUCUGCAACGCCUUUGUGCAUGGUUCGACAAUGGUGAUUUAGCUCUCGGACUAGUAACUCUAGCUUAUUCAUAAAUUCACCUUGUUAACACUUGGACAGCGAGCGAAGCAGAACGAAGGGAACGCCCUACGAUCUACGUGAAUUGCCUUGUUAUCCUACCAAUUGUUUGUAACUACGGUACUACGUCAUUUUAAAG